This 1078-nucleotide long non-coding RNA is filed under the name Olea europaea (common olive). RNAcentral's name for it is "long non-coding RNA (OEUR_LNC012818)". The record is from RNAcentral. Lineage: Eukaryota; Viridiplantae; Streptophyta; Magnoliopsida; Lamiales; Oleaceae.
CAAAACAAACCAAAGUGAGAAACGUACCUUUCAUUACACGUCAAGCGUGGUAUUUGGUACAAUCCCUUUCCAAUUGUUCCAAGAUUCCAAAAAAAUAACAGUUUGAUGAUUCAUCAUUUUCAGGCUUUUGCUAUUUCUUUUGAGCUGGACCUAGUGGAACUUCUUUAUUCUUUAUUUUCUUGAACUUGUCGUUAGAGAUAUUAGCCAAGUGAGCACUUUAGUCCUGUCUUGCUUCAGCUUUUAUUCUUCCUGCACAUUGUAUGAAAUCAUCUCAUUUAGAGUCCACUUUUCUUUUUGACAGUUGUAACUGACCUUGAAUUGAUUGUACUGUCAGGAAGAGAAAUCAAAACAAAUGCACGAGCAAAUCAUCAGAUAGUUCAAACUUUAGUACCUCCAAUUUUGAAAUAAUAUGAGACACCUCCAUUAUGUACUUCCGAAUAUUUUCUUUACCUUUAUACCUUAGCGAAACUAAGUUCAUCAAAAACGUACUAGCUUGGACUUUAUCGCUUUUUGUAAAGUGUUUUUUAAUUUUAUCAAGAAAUUCCUUGAUAGUGGUUACCUUAUCAGACACAUUACCCCCGAAUGAUUCUGAAACACAACAUUUCAUGAUCAUAAGACUCAUGCGGUUUGAACGAGCCCACUUAUCAAAGUCUCCCCUUUUUAUUAGCAAAAUUUUUAUCUAUAAAUGCAGCGGGUUGUUCAGUCCUUAACGCAAGGUUUAAGUCCAUGCUGCCAUGAACAAUCUAAACAUUCUCCUUUUAGUCUUUAAAGUUGGUUCCAUCCAGCACAGGAAUGAGUUGAUGUUGGCAAAUAUUGUAGAAGAUGAAGAGUUAACUGAAUAGAGAAUAAAAUCAAAGAAAUAUGUCCACGUUAAAAUCCGUAUUAAACAAUUAAUAAAUUCAAAUAAUGGUAAACUCCCCCACCACAAGAUACCUAGCACAAUAUUGACAUUUAGUCUUUGGCCAGAAAUACCAACUUCUAAGUGGUGCUCUUGGCAUAAUAACCAAAUAUUGAUAAUAAACUAUGUCAAAUAAUAAACCUAUCUUUGAACCGAUCUAUUGUUUACAUUAAGGAAACC